This is a ribosomal RNA of Oscillatoriales cyanobacterium, 118 nucleotides long. NCBI's taxonomy places the organism in Bacteria, Bacillati, Cyanobacteriota, Cyanophyceae, Oscillatoriales. The record is from Rfam.
CCUGGUGUCUAUGACGCGAUGGCUCCACUCCGAUACCAUCCCGAACUCGGUUGUUAAAUGUUGCGGUGGCGAAGAUACUUGGUGGGUAACUGCCUGGGAAAAUAGCUCGAUGCCAGGG